RNAcentral lists this ribosomal RNA (490 nucleotides) under Lamprima adolphinae. RNAcentral's name for it is "eukaryotic LSU rRNA". It matches the Rfam family "Eukaryotic large subunit ribosomal RNA", at positions 677 to 1139 of the family's 3401-position model. RNAcentral also lists the same sequence under 1 other name. The record is from RNAcentral. Lineage: Eukaryota; Metazoa; Arthropoda; Insecta; Coleoptera; Lucanidae.
AGCAUGUGCGCGAGUCAUUGGGACAAGCCUAAAGGCGAAAUGAAAGUGAAGGUCAGCCUAGGACCGAGGGAGGAUGGGUCCGGAAAAGGACCCCGCACUCCCGGGGCGUCCCGUUCUCACUGCGAGAAGGGGCGCACCCAGAGCGUACACGCUGGGACCCGAAAGAUGGUGAACUAUGCCUGGUCAGGACGAAGUCAGGGGAAACCCUGAUGGAGGUCCGUAGCGAUUCUGACGUGCAAAUCGAUCGUCGGAACUGGGUAUAGGGGCGAAAGACUAAUCGAACCAUCUAGUAGCUGGUUCCCUCCGAAGUUUCCCUCAGGAUAGCUGGCGCUCGCCGUUGGCGAGUCUCAUCCGGUAAAGCGAAUGAUUAGAGGCAUUGGGGUCGAAACGGCCUCAACCUAUUCUCAAACUUUAAAUGGGUGAGAUCUCCGGCUUGCUUGAACGUGAAGCCGCGAGAUUUCGGAUCAGAGUGCCAAGUGGGCCACUUUUG